GUCCACGCCGUAAACUAUCAAUACUCGUUCUCAGCACUUCGGUGUUGGGGACCAAGCGAAAGUGAUAAGUAUUGCACCUGGGGAGUACGAUCGCAAGGUUGAAACUCAAAGGAAUUGACGGGGGCCCGCACAAGCGGUGGAGCAUGUGGUUUAAUUCGAUGAUACGCGAGGAACCUUACCAGGGCUUAAAUGUAGAGGGAAUGUCGUGGAAACAUGUCAGCCUUCGGGCCGUCUACAAGGUGCUGCAUGGCUGUCGU
This 257-nucleotide ribosomal RNA is filed under the name uncultured bacterium. RNAcentral describes it as "partial 16S ribosomal RNA". It matches the Rfam family "Bacterial small subunit ribosomal RNA", at positions 793 to 1055 of the family's 1533-position model. The record is from RNAcentral.